Molecule: non-coding RNA, 205 nt
Organism: Oryza brachyantha (malo sina)
Lineage: Eukaryota; Viridiplantae; Streptophyta; Magnoliopsida; Poales; Poaceae
Source: Rfam
UUUAUAUGACGUCGUUGACUUUUAAGUCUACGUUUGACCAUUUGUCUUAUUCAAAAAAAUUAUAUAAUUAUUAAUUAUUUUGUUAUAAUAUAAUUUAUUAUUAUAGGAACUUUAAGUAUGUAUUAUAAUUUUAUAUAUUUAGAUAUAAAUUUUAAAUAAGACGAAUAGUCAAACGUAAUCCUAAAAGUCAACGGCGUCGAACAUA